Molecule: transfer RNA, 76 nt
Filed under: Candidatus Doudnaibacteriota bacterium
Lineage: Bacteria; Candidatus Doudnaibacteriota
Description: Candidatus Doudnabacteria bacterium tRNA-Thr
Rfam family: tRNA
About the family: Transfer RNA (tRNA) molecules are approximately 80 nucleotides in length. Their secondary structure includes four short double-helical elements and three loops (D, anti-codon, and T loops).
Source: RNAcentral
GCCAGCUUAGCUCAUCUGGUAGAGCAACGGUUUUGUAAACCGUAGGUGGUCGGUUCGAGUCCGACAGCUGGCUCCA